This 21-nucleotide microRNA is filed under the name Caenorhabditis elegans. Its description in RNAcentral is "cel-miR-8199-3p". The record is from miRBase by way of RNAcentral. Lineage: Eukaryota; Metazoa; Nematoda; Chromadorea; Rhabditida; Rhabditidae.
GUAGAAGGAUGUUGGAAAAUA